AGUGAACGCUGGCGGUAGGCCUAACACAUGCAAGUCGAACGGCAGCACAGUAAGAGCUUGCUCUUACGGGUGGCGAGUGGCGGACGGGUGAGGAAUACAUCGGAAUCUACUUUUUCGUGGGGGAUAACGUAGGGAAACUUAAGCUAAUACCGCAUACGACCUGCGGGUGAAAGCAGGGGAUCUUCGGACGUUGCGCGAUGGAAUGAGCCGAUGUCGGAUUAGCUAGUUGGCGGGGUAAAGGCCCACCAAGGCGACGAUCCGUAGCUGGUCUGAGAGGAUGAUCAGCCACACUGGAACUGAGACACGGUCCAGACUCCUACGGGAGGCAGCAGUGGGGAAUAUUGGACAAUGGGCGCAAGCCUGAUCCAGCCAUACCGCGUGGGUGAAGAAGGCCUUCGGGUUGUAAAGCCCUUUUGUUGGGAAAGAAAAGCAGCAGGUUAAUACCCCGCUGUUCUGACGGUACCCAAAGAGUAAGCACCGGCUAACUUCGUG
RNAcentral lists this ribosomal RNA (492 nucleotides) under uncultured bacterium. RNAcentral's name for it is "partial 16S ribosomal RNA". It matches the Rfam family "Bacterial small subunit ribosomal RNA", at positions 29 to 507 of the family's 1533-position model. The record is from RNAcentral.